This 450-nucleotide ribosomal RNA is filed under the name uncultured bacterium. RNAcentral describes it as "partial 16S ribosomal RNA". It matches the Rfam family "Bacterial small subunit ribosomal RNA", at positions 354 to 796 of the family's 1533-position model. The record is from RNAcentral.
GUGGGGAAUAUUGGACAAUGGGCGCAAGCCUGAUCCAGCAAUGCCGCGUGGGUGAAGAAGGCCUUCGGGUUGUAAAGCCCUUUUGUACGGAAAGAAAUCCUGGUGGUUAAUACCCGCCGGGGAUGACGGUACCGUAAGAAUAAGCACCGGCUAACUUCGUGCCAGCAGCCGCGGUAAUACGAAGGGUGCAAGCGUUAAUCGGAAUUACUGGGCGUAAAGCGUGCGUAGGUGGUUUCUUAAGUCUGUCGUGAAAGCCCUGGGCUCAACCUGGGAAUGGCGAUGGAUACUGGGAGGCUAGAGUGCGGUAGAGGAUGGCGGAAGUCCCGGUGUAGCGGUGAAAUGCGUAGAGAUCGGGAGGAACAUCUGUGGCGAAGGCGGCCAUCUGGACCAGCACUGACACUGAGGCACGAAAGCGUGGGGAGCAAACAGGAUUAGAAACCCGAGUAGUCC